GAUGAACGCUGGCGGCGUGCUUAACACAUGCAAGUCGAACGAUGAAGCCCAGCUUGCUGGGUGGAUUAGUGGCGAACGGGUGAGUAACACGUGAGUAACCUGCCCUUAACUCUGGGAUAAGCCUGGGAAACUGGGUCUAAUACCGGAUAGGAGCGUCCACCGCAUGGUGGGUGUUGGAAAGAUUUAUCGGUUUUGGAUGGACUCGCGGCCUAUCAGCUUGUUGGUGAGGUAAUGGCUCACCAAGGCGACGACGGGUAGCCGGCCUGAGAGGGUGACCGGCCACACUGGGACUGAGACACGGCCCAGACUCCUACGGGAGGCAGCAGUGGGGAAUAUUGCACAAUGGGCGAAAGCCUGAUGCAGCGACGCCGCGUGAGGGAUGACGGCCUUCGGGUUGUAAACCUCUUUCAGUAGGGAAGAAAGCGAAGUGACGGUACCUGCAGAAGAAGCACCGGCUAACUACGUGGCAGCAGCCGCGGUAAUACGUAGGGUGCGAGCGUUAUCCCGAAUUAUGGGGCGUAAAGAGCUCGUAGCGGUUUGUCGCGUCUGUCGUGAAAGUCCGGGGCUUAACCCCGGAUCUGCGGUGGGUACGGGCAGACUAGAGUGCAGUAGGGGAGACUGGAAUUCCUGGUGUAGCGGUGGAAUGCGCAGAUAUCAGGAGGAACACCGAUGGCGAAGGCAGGUCUCUGGGCUGUAACUGACGCUGAGGAGCGAAAGCAUGGGGAGCGAACAGGAUUAGAUACCCUGGUAGUCCAUGCCGUAAACGUUGGGCACUAGGUGUGGGGACCAUUCCACGGUUUCCGCGCCGCAGCUAACGCAUUAAGUGCCCCGCCUGGGGAGUACGGCCGCAAGGCUAAAACUCAAAGGAAUUGACGGGGGCCCGCACAAGCGGCGGAGCAUGCGGAUUAAUUCGAUGCAACGCGAAGAACCUUACCAAGGCUUGACAUGUUCUCGAUCGCCGUAGAGAUACGGUUUCCCCUUUGGGGCGGGUUCACAGGUGGUGCAUGGUUGUCGUCAGCUCGUGUCGUGAGAUGUUGGGUUAAGUCCCGCAACGAGCGCAACCCUCGUUCCAUGUUGCCAGCACGUAAUGGUGGGGACUCAUGGGAGACUGCCGGGGUCAACUCGGAGGAAGGUGAGGACGACGUCAAAUCAUCAUGCCCCUUAUGUCUUGGGCUUCACGCAUGCUACAAUGGCCGGUACAAUGGGUUGCGACACUGUGAGGUGGAGCUAAUCCCAAAAAGCCGGUCUCAGUUCGGAUUGGGGUCUGCAACUCGACCCCAUGAAGUCGGAGUCGCUAGUAAUCGCAGAUCAGCAACGCUGCGGUGAAUACGUUCCCGGGCCU
RNAcentral lists this ribosomal RNA (1342 nucleotides) under uncultured bacterium. RNAcentral's name for it is "bacterial SSU rRNA". It matches the Rfam family "Bacterial small subunit ribosomal RNA", at positions 28 to 1381 of the family's 1533-position model. The record is from RNAcentral.